This is a long non-coding RNA of Grammomys surdaster, 212 nucleotides long. RefSeq lists it as uncharacterized. The record is from RefSeq and is a predicted model, not a curated record. NCBI's taxonomy places the organism in Eukaryota, Metazoa, Chordata, Mammalia, Rodentia, Muridae. The transcript is spliced from 3 exons.
UUACGGGUUGGGACGAGCCGUGAAGGUCCGGCGCAGCCUUGGGCUCACGAGUGGGCAGCGUCCGAGGAGUCGCGCGCGGACGACUGAAUUCACAGAGGACUGGGAGGACAGUUGCCUGCACCAGAAUCACCAUGAAAGUUCCUCUGGAUUCUUCCUAAUUAUUUAGCAGGAAGGCAAGAAAGCAGAGGUGAAAGUCAACUAUCAUUAGCCCC